UAGCUUUUUCCAUACCUCAAAUCGCCCAUCACUUGAUAGGCAUAGCAGUUUUAGUGGUUUGCUCUAGGGUGGGCAAAGGCCGUUCAUUACUAUGUGUGUGGUUAAUUAUGCCAAAUCCACAUACUGACCUAAGGGCCUUGUAUCUAGUUUACUACUACUGUGUUGUAUUUGGUAUUUUUGUUUUUCUUUGGUUUUGUUAUAGCUCCACUGGAACUUGCUAUAUAGGUUAGGCUGGUUUUGAACACAUUGAGGUCAGCCUGCUUCUGCCUCCCAAGUGCUGGAAUUAAAGGCAUGGACCGGCAAGCUUGACACUGCUUCCUGUUGAAGCACUUGUGUAGCACCUGUGGAGUCCUUGUGUGAUUAUUCUUGUUCGAGGUACUUAGGGCAAGUCACAUGCCCUCCAUCCCAUGGCUCAGAGAUGAAGAGUAAAUCCAAAACAUGUGCCUCGCUCUUGGUCACUAACUGCUGUCCUGAUGUGGGUUAUUAUUUUUGGAGUUGUGGUCUUGUGGAGGCAUGGGUGGUGUUGCUGUGUGUAUUCAGAGGGAGGGGAGAGUGGAGAGUGUGUUGAUAAGCUGUAAACAAAGCUGGUUUCUUUUUGGAGGACUGCAUGUGCUGAAAGCUUCAGAGUUCCCAGUCCAGAAGCAGUAUUCUAACUCCCAGCCCCUCCACCUUUUCCUUUCUCAGCCGAGGCCUCUACAGCACCAGUCACUUGGCUCCAUUACACAUUGUUAGGCGCACAUUUAAGAUCAUUGAUGUCAUGCUAGUCUGUACCCCUGUGUGACUUGGCCUAGGAACUAGUGCAAAAUUUGGUUUGUUGGUGUGCUUUUCUGGUUUAGGAGCCUGAAACAAGCACACUGUGCUAGAGACUAGUUGGGUAGCACCAGAAAUCCCCUGGAGGGAUUUCCAGGAGGAGGAGGGGGUACUGUUGUAUGGGAGGAGCAUCAGGAAGUCUCAGAGAAUCCAUGCCUAAGAGCUCCUUUUUGGUAUUAAGGACAUGGCAUUAUGUCAGGGCAUAUGCCUCUAUAGAUUGGCAAACCCCACAGUGCCUCUAUGGCUGAGGCUGUGACAUGAGACCAAGAAUGUGACUGGGUAGAAUGCAAGUGAAUGGGCCCUUUGAUCCAGGCUCGGGAGCUAACAGUUCCCAGAAUUCCUGAAUGAGUGCCUGUCCUGACUCACAUUCACUUGGAGGCUCAUUGACCACAGAGCCUUGUGACCUUUGGUGGCCACAGACCAAGAUUGUUUUCUAGCACUGCAUGUCCUACAGUCUUGUAAGUUUAAAAAGUGCUUAUCCAAAUGUAAGUUUUAACAUUUUUAUAAAAAUAAGUUGUUCUAUUAAAAAAUAAGUAUCAUUUU
This 1353-nucleotide long non-coding RNA is filed under the name Mus musculus (house mouse). RNAcentral's name for it is "long non-coding RNA chr11:4181155-4182508". The record is from RNAcentral. Lineage: Eukaryota; Metazoa; Chordata; Mammalia; Rodentia; Muridae.